This 1875-nucleotide long non-coding RNA is filed under the name Erythranthe guttata (spotted monkey flower). RNAcentral describes it as "long non-coding RNA (EGUT_LNC002398)". Lineage: Eukaryota; Viridiplantae; Streptophyta; Magnoliopsida; Lamiales; Phrymaceae. The record is from RNAcentral.
UAAACAAAAAGUUUCGCUUCGACCAAAAAAAAUAACUCUCAAUAAUAUAUAAUUGUCUGGCAAACUGCAACAUAUGAAUAAAUUGUUUGUAGUCUACAAAUUGAAUAGAAUAACCGGUCUAAAAAUAUUAUGCAAAUAUUUUCCAUCGACUUCGAAAAACAUAUACUACAACAGAUCAGACUGUUCAAUAACAUCGUUCUCCAAAAGCUUGAGAAGUUGUUCCACUUUAUUCUGCAUUAACAUUAAUCAAAUGUUAAAACCAGUUUAAUAGUAAAACAUAUUAUAAUCAAACUAACAUGAAGUAUAUAAAUAGUUAUAAACUAAUAAAUGCAGGGGCUCUUAAGUACAUAUCUCAUUGAAUAGUAGAUGAAUUUGCUUUCUUAAGGUGAAAAUACAUAAACAUGAUUUAUAGACCAAACAAACAAAAAAAAAAUUCCACUCACAUCUCCAGUACACAUUCUAAUAGCUUAGAAAAGUACAUUUCACUAGUGUGAUGAAAUUAUUAUCAGGCAAAGCAACAAAUAAACAAAGGAAAUAGGUCUGUUCGUAGAUAAAACAUACAAAUAAAGUAAUAACAAAUAUUUCAGCUGACAUCUCGAGUACUCAUAUUCAAAUAGUCUGGAUAAAAUGUGUUUCACAUAAGGCCACUUCUUUAGACAAAUAGAUGAUGUCAAUAGAGAUGUUUUCAUCUAAAUAACAUAAAUUAAUUAACAAACUCAAUCUAGGAAGCCAACUAAUUAAGGGUAUAAUUGAGUUCAACGAUUAAGAAAUAACAUGUGAGAAAAAUCCACAUGCUAUUAUUUAUUUAUAACACAAAUUACAAUCCAUCUAUUGGCAACUCAAGUAAUGUUCAAUUUAUUAGUACUCAGACUCUUCAAGUAGCUACAAUUAUAUAGUAUUUUCAUAUUUUUUACUCAAUUCAAAACAAAAAAGUGAAAGUGCAUUGAUAAAAAAAAUUAUCCCAAUAAAAUAUAACAUGUUAUAAUGAUUUAAACAUAAACUUUCUUACCAAGACAAAUUUCCGGCAGUGUUAUUCCCUUGCAUUCUAAGAAAGAAUUGAUACAUUUCUUCAUGUGUUUGCAAUUGCAACGACUCUAUUUUUUCUUCAUAACUACUAUUUUGUUUUGCCAUUUUCUCUGCUAGUUCUGUAGUGAUUCAUAACUACUGCUUAUUUUUCCUUUGCUCUGCUAGUUCUGUAUUAGGGUGUUAGUUAUCUUUCUUGCACUUUGAAGCUCAUUCCCAUUUUCUUUUUAUGUAUUUAAUGAAUAUUUCCAUAGUUCAAUCUUGUUUGGAUUAGUCUGCUUGUAAUGUACUAGUAAAUAUCACAAUGACAAGUUGUUAAUUUUCAAAAAAAUACGGGAUAGAUUUUAAAAUUGAGAAUGACAAGAAUACAAACCAUUUUCCUAUAACACGAAAGAUAUAUAAAAUCAAAAAAGUAACAGGAAACAAUUUAAUGAGAUUCAAGGAUUGCAGGCCCUACCAAACAUCACCAAAUUGUCACAGAUUGAGAAAAAAAAAUAUCAAUAGUAGGCACAUAACAUUACCAAAUGCCAUUAACAGAAGGGGGUGUAUUGAUUUAUAUUUUUAUUUUUUAAAUUGAGCUCAACAAUGUCGAAAACAUGUUCAGAGGAGAAGACAAUAUAAAAGAAAUGUUUAAAGCUGCGAAAAACUCACCUCGCGAAGAUAAUCGAUACCAGAAAGAAGCACAUCCGUCGCUCCGUCGCCCACACUCCGCCGACGCCGCCCAAUUUUGUCCAAUACAGAACUUCAAUGUAUUGGCUUGCGGAAAAGUAGCAGUAAAAAAACCUUAAACAUAGCAUAGCAAAAUGAAAAAAAAAAUUACCUUGAUUUAUUGAACGAUUAUUAGCAGAGUAU